GGGUAUAGACUGAAAAAGGGAUAAGGCUGGCCUGUCAAGCCGGAGAUCGCGGGUUCGAUCCCCGUCACUCCCG
RNAcentral lists this transfer RNA (73 nucleotides) under Alkalispirochaeta americana. Its description in RNAcentral is "Spirochaeta americana tRNA". It matches the Rfam family "tRNA". Rfam says of the family: Transfer RNA (tRNA) molecules are approximately 80 nucleotides in length. Their secondary structure includes four short double-helical elements and three loops (D, anti-codon, and T loops). Lineage: Bacteria; Pseudomonadati; Spirochaetota; Spirochaetia; Spirochaetales; Spirochaetaceae. The record is from Rfam by way of RNAcentral.